UUAUAAUCAUUAGUACUGACUGUAAGGAUAUGAAAUAGUUAAACUCUUUCUUGCUUUAAAAUAAUGUUUGAAAUAAUUAUGCUGACUUUGGCAGAUGUAUUUUGUACCAAGGUCUUUCGUCUACAGGAUGUAUGACCUUCCUUGACCUUAGGAUGUUCCUGUCUCGUCUUUAUCCAAAUGCUUAUCUUUUUCAUGUCCGACAAGUAUGUACUAUUAACUACAAGGACACUAUAGAUCUCACUGUUUGCAUGACAAACUGUGUAUAAAUGCUAGCCCUGAAAAUAUACUCAUUGAGAACUUGUUGAGCACUCUUUCGUGUCUGUGUGUCUUAUUUGCCAAACAAGAUCUCCCAUCAAUUGAUGUGGUGACGGGGGAUCGAGAAUCGAGGGGAGUUGAGACCAGAACAGCAUUUAUCCUUUCAGCUUGGUGUCUAGAAGUGGGAUCAGCAAAACCAUUGGGUGAGUAGCCUUUUUGUGUCUUAUUGACGCUAAUUGUCUAUGACCCCCUUUGGUUCAGUAAGUCUGUAUCCAGUAGAAAGGAAAGGUAUAAGGACUUUAGUUAUAUUGAGACUGUAAAUAGGUCUCUGGUUUAUUAGACAUUUGGUCUAAAUAUAUAUAGGG
Non-coding RNA from Pelobates cultripes (western spadefoot toad), 620 nucleotides. The record is from the annotation of a GenBank genome assembly. Lineage: Eukaryota; Metazoa; Chordata; Amphibia; Anura; Pelobatidae.